UGCUCCAGUUGAUCGCAUGGCCUUCUGGGAAAGCUUUCGCGGUAUGGGAUGGGGUCGCGUCCUAUCAGCUUGACGGCGGGGUAACGGCCCACCGUGGCUUCGACGGGUAGCCGGCCUGAGAGGGCGACCGGCCACAUUGGGACUGAGAUACGGCCCAGACUCCUACGGGAGGCAGCAGUGGGGAAUAUUGCACAAUGGGCGCAAGCCUGAUGCAGCGACGCCGCGUGCGGGAUGACGGCCUUCGGGUUGUAAACCGCUUUUGAUCGGGAGCAAGCCUUCGGGUGAGUGUACCUUUCGAAUAAGCACCGGCUAACUACGUGCCAGCAGCCGCGGUAAUACGUAGGGUGCAAGCGUUAUCCGGAAUUAUUGGGCGUAAAGGGCUCGUAGGCGGUUCGUCGCGUCCGGUGUGAAAGUCCAUCGCUUAACGGUGGAUCUGCGCCGGGUACGGGCGGGCUGGAGUGCGGUAGGGGAGACUGGAAUUCCCGGUGUAACGGUGGAAUGUGUAGAUAUCGGGAAGAACACCAAUGGCGAAGGCAGGUCUCUGGGCCGUUACUGACGCUGAGGAGCGAAAGCGUGGGGAGCGAACAGGAUUAGAUACCCUGGUAGUCCACGCCGUAAACGGUGGAUGCUGGAUGUGGGGCCCGUUCCACGGGUUCCGUGUCGGAGCUAACGCGUUAAGCAUCCCGCCUGGGGAGUACGGCCGCAAGGCUAAAACUCAAAGAAAUUGACGGGGGCCCGCACAAGCGGCGGAGCAUGCGGAUUAAUUCGAUGCAACGCGAAGAACCUUACCUGGGCUUGACAUGUUCCCGACGGUCGUAGAGAUACGGCUUCCCUUCGGGGCGGGUUCACAGGUGGUGCAUGGUCGUCGUCAGCUCGUGUCGUGAGAUGUUGGGUUAAGUCCCGCAACGAGCGCAACCCCUAUUGUUAGUUGCCAUCAUUCAGUUGGGCACUCUAGCGAGACUGCCGGUAAUAAACCGGAGGAAGGUGGGGAUGACGUCAAAUCAUCAUGCCCCUUAUGACCUGGGCUACACACGUGCUACAAUGGUUGGUACAACGAGUUGCGAGUCGGUGACGGCAAGCUAAUCUCUUAAAGCCAAUCUCAGUUCGGAUUGUAGGCUGCAACUCGCCUACAUGAAGUCGGAAUCGCUAGUAAUCGCGGAUCAGCACGC
Molecule: ribosomal RNA, 1169 nt
Filed under: uncultured Bifidobacterium sp.
Lineage: Bacteria; Bacillati; Actinomycetota; Actinomycetes; Bifidobacteriales; Bifidobacteriaceae
Description: bacterial SSU rRNA
Rfam family: Bacterial small subunit ribosomal RNA
Source: RNAcentral